AAGUAACAAGUUUAGUUAGCAAAUGUAUAUAAACAAUAUGAAGCUACAGAUUUGGUGUACUCUGAUUAUGGAGAUCAACAGAAUCACUUGCAGGGCGGGAUGAUGAUGAGAUCAACAUAAUCACUUGCAGGGCGAGAUGAUGAUGCCAUCUGCCUCAUCAUACGCCUCAUCUCCUCCUACAUAGAGCAAAACUGGUCUUCACUCUGUUGCCUGAAGCGCGAUACCUCCCCCUCAACGAUUUGCUAGAGAAUUUGCUCUUAAUUUUCCCUUAUGCGUAUGAUCUCCUCCUCAAGCACUCUAAUGCGCUCAUCAGCAACAUGAUCUGUCACCGUAGCUGUCCUGUGUGAAGUGGCAAAGCUGUUAAAUAAGUCUGGA
This 375-nucleotide unclassified non-coding RNA is filed under the name Hevea brasiliensis (rubber tree). The record is from RNAcentral. Lineage: Eukaryota; Viridiplantae; Streptophyta; Magnoliopsida; Malpighiales; Euphorbiaceae.